This is a long non-coding RNA of Daphnia magna, 1138 nucleotides long. RefSeq lists it as uncharacterized. The record is from RefSeq and is a predicted model, not a curated record. NCBI's taxonomy places the organism in Eukaryota, Metazoa, Arthropoda, Branchiopoda, Diplostraca, Daphniidae. The transcript is spliced from 2 exons.
ACACAGUCUCAGUGACUCGAGUCCAACCUCGGACCUUUUCAGCUUUGAAAGUUAGGUCCAAGGUUGGACUCGAGUCUUCACUACUGUUAUCGUCGGAUAACCGCUAGGGGGGGACGUUAGAAAAUCCGUCAAGCAAUUUUCACGCCAUUAUCGUGAUAUUAUUGUUUUUAAACGAUUAAUCGAAAUUCCAGGGAUGUAAUUAAUCAAUGUUAAUGAUAUAUUUUGUGGGUGGAAUUUUAAGGGCUUCAAGCUUGUGAUUUAACAUUAGCUUUCCCUUUCAUAUAAAAUUUCAGAAAAGUCGUUUGGUACUACCGUUUAGUUCCACCCGAUUUGUUAUUGUUUGUCAGUGGUUUCUCAAAACAUUGAAAUUCAAAAUUGUGUGGUUUUUUUUUUUGCUAAUCUGGGACAUUGGUUCAACAUAAAAGAACUGAGAUGGAGGAAGACGAGGAAUCGCGAUCUCGUAAAUUAGUGAAAGAAUUUUUAGCAAGUUUAAAGAAAAGCGAAAAUUCCCGGAAGAAUAAGGAAAGACGAGAAUCUAAACGAAAGGAAGCUGGAUAUCCAAGCAAACGACCAAAAUGCUUUGUAAAAUUGGACGGUGUUAAGGUGAAAUUGACAAUAAAUAUGAAGAAAGGUAGUGGAUACCAAACAGAGGCUGGAUGCUGAGCAACUGUCAGGUGUCAAAAUACUAGCAAUUUAUAAUAAUUACAAUUCAAAUUCAAAUUCUCACAUUUCAAUUCUCAAAUUACAAUUCUCACAUUACAAUUCUCAAAUUGCAAUUCUCACCUCAAAUUUAAUCUCCUCUCAUGGAAUUUACUCCACAACAAAGUGCUUCAACAUCCCGUCUGAAAUUAUGCAAAGAGUAUUUCCCAAUGUCCCCUGAUAUUUUCCUAAUUCACCUGUCCGAUGUUAAAAGUGAAGCCAUAAUUGUUUAUAUUCCUCACAGUCGGACUAAGUGUUCCGAAGAAGAACUCUGCAACAAAGUGAAGAAAAUGUGGGAAGAAAAGAACAAAGUUGAGGCCCAGAGAGCUACAAUUGUCAAGCAACCUGCACUCCUGCAGCAAUCAAACGUGUAGACUGUUUUUAAAAGUAUUGAUUAUUGGAAUGUCAUGAUGCAAAUACAUUUCAAAUUUUAAAACAA